Molecule: ribosomal RNA, 263 nt
Filed under: Gammaproteobacteria bacterium
Lineage: Bacteria; Pseudomonadati; Pseudomonadota; Gammaproteobacteria
Description: partial 23S ribosomal RNA
Rfam family: Bacterial large subunit ribosomal RNA
Source: RNAcentral
GGAGCUGCUCCUAGUACGAGAGGACCGGAGUGGACGUUCCUCUGGUGUUCCGGUUGUCACGCCAGUGGCAUUGCCGGGUAGCUAUGAACGGACAGGAUAACCGCUGAAAGCAUCUAAGCGGGAAGCCUCCCAUAAGAUGAGAUCUCACUAGUGACUUGAUCACUCUGUAGGGCCGUUGAAGACUACAACGUUGAUAGGUUGGGUGUGGAAGUGCAGUAAUGUAUGAAGCUAACCAAUACUAAUUGCCCGUGAGGCUUGACCAU